UACGGGGGGGGCAAGCGUUGUUCGGAAUUACUGGGCGUAAAGGGCUCGUAGGCGGCCAACUAAGUCAGACGUGAAAUCCCCCGGCUUAACCAGGGAACUGCGUCUGAUACUGGAUGGCUUGAGUUUGGGAGAGGGAUGCGGAAUUCCAGGUGUAGCGGUGAAAUGCGUAGAUAUCUGGAGGAACACCAAUGGCGAAGGCAGCUCACUGGGACGGUACUGACGCUGAGACGCGAAAGCGUGGGGAGCAAACAGG
RNAcentral lists this ribosomal RNA (253 nucleotides) under uncultured bacterium. RNAcentral's name for it is "partial 16S ribosomal RNA". It matches the Rfam family "Bacterial small subunit ribosomal RNA", at positions 524 to 776 of the family's 1533-position model. The record is from RNAcentral.